This 1365-nucleotide ribosomal RNA is filed under the name metagenome. RNAcentral describes it as "bacterial LSU rRNA". It matches the Rfam family "Bacterial large subunit ribosomal RNA", at positions 1537 to 2925 of the family's 2925-position model. The record is from RNAcentral.
AAAAACCGCAUGAAAAAUGUAAAGCGUUAUGUGGAUCGAACAUUAGUAGAGAAGCGUGUGAGCCAGCUGCCAAGAAAAGCCGCUAUUGUUUCAUAAGUACCCGUACCGUAAACCGACACAGGUGGAUGAGGAGAGAAUCCUAAGGCCGGCGGGAGAAGUGUUGUUAAGGAACUCGGCAAAUGACUCCGUAACUUCGGGAGAAGGAGUGCCACAGAGAUGUGGCCGCAGAGAAAUGGCCCAAGCAACUGUUUAGCAAAAACACAGGUCUAUGCAAAACCGAAAGGUGAGGUAUAUGGGCUGACGCCUGCCCGGUGCUGGAAGGUUAAGAGGAGAGGUUAGAGCAAUCGAAGCUUUGAAUUUAAGCCCCAGUAAACGGCGGCCGUAACGAUAACGGUCCUAAGGUAGCGAAAUUCCUUGUCGGGUAAGUUCCGACCCGCACGAAAGGCGUAAUGAUUUGGGCACUGUCUCAACAACACACCCGGUGAAAUUGAAAUACCAGUGAAGAUGCUGGUUACCUGCGCCAGGACGGAAAGACCCCAUGGAGCUUUACUCCAGUUUGAUACUGGGAUUCGGUACUGUCUGUACAGGAUAGGUGGGAGGCUAGGAAAUGGUGACGCCAGUUGCCAUGGAGCCAACCUUGGGAUACCACCCUUACAGUACUGGGUUUCUAACCUGCAGCCGUAACCCGGCUGGGGGACAAUGUCUGACGGGGAGUUUGACUGGGGCGGUCGCCUCCGAAAGAGUAUCGGAGGCGCUCAAAGGUUCCCUCAGAACGGUUGGAAACCGUUCGAAGAGUGCAAAGGCAGAAGGGAGCUUGACUGCGACACCGACGGGUGGAGCAGAUACGAAAGUAGGACUUAGUGAUCCGGUGGUAUAAAGUGGGAUUGCCAUCGCUCAACGGAUAAAAGCUACCCUGGGAUAACAGGCUUAUCACUCCCAAGAAUUCACAUCGACGGAGUGGUUUGGCACCUCGAUGUCGGCUCAUCGCAUCCUGGAGCUGUAGCAGGUUCCAAGGGUUGGGCUGUUCGCCCAUUAAAGCGGUACGCGAGCUGGGUUCAGAACGUCGUGAGACAGUUCGGUCCCUAUCCGGCGUGGGCGUAGGAUAUUUGAGAGGAGCUGUCCUGAGUACGAGAGGACCGGGAUGGACAAACCUCUGGUGUAUCUGUUGUUUUACCAAAGGCAUGGCAGAGUAGCCAAGUUUGGCAGGGAUAAACGCUGAAGGCAUCUAAGCGUGAAGCCCCCCUCAAGAUAAGAUAUCCCAUCUUCGGAGUAAGACCCCUUGAAGACUACAAGGUUGAUAGGCUUCAGGUGUAAGUGUGGUAACGCACUCAGCUGAGAAGUACUAAUAGGUCGAGGACUUAUCAA